GUGGCGAACGGGUGAGUAACACGUGGGUGACCUGCCCUGCACUUCGGGAUAAGCCUGGGAAACUGGGUCUAAUACCGGAUAGGACCGCACCGUGAGGGUGUGGUGGAAAGUUUUUUCGGUGUGGGAUGGGCCCGCGGCCUAUCAGCUUGUUGGUGGGGUAAUGGCCUACCAAGGCGGCGACGGGUAGCCGGCCUGAGAGGGUGGACGGCCACAUUGGGACUGAGACACGGCCCAGACUCCUACGGGAGGCAGCAGUGGGGAAUAUUGCACAAUGGGCGGAAGCCUGAUGCAGCGACGCCGCGUGGGGGAUGACGGCCUUCGGGUUGUAAACUCCUUUCACCAUCGACGAAGGGUUUCUGACGGUAGAUGGAGAAGAAGCACCGGCUAACUACGUGCCAGCAGCCGCGGUAAUACGUAGGGUGCGAGCGUUGUCCGGAAUUACUGGGCGUAAAGAGCUCGUAGGUGGUUUGUCGCGUCGUCUGUGAAAUUCCGGGGCUUAACUCCGGGCGUGCAGGCGAUACGGGCAUAACUUGAGUACUGUAGGGGAGACUGGAAUUCCUGGUGUAGCGGUGAAAUGCGCAGAUAUCAGGAGGAACACCGGUGGCGAAGGCGGGUCUCUGGGCAGUAACUGACGCUGAGGAGCGAAAGCAUGGGGAGCGAACAGGAUUAGAUACCCUGGUAGUCCAUGCCGUAAACGGUGGGCGCUAGGUGUGGGUUUCCUUCCACGGGAUCCGUGCCGUAGCUAACGCAUUAAGCGCCCCGCCUGGGGAGUACGGCCGCAAGGCUAAAACUCAAAGGAAUUGACGGGGGCCCGCACAAGCGGCGGAGCAUGUGGAUUAAUUCGAUGCAACGCGAAGAACCUUACCUGGGCUUGACAUAUACAGGAUCGCGCCAGAGAUGGUGUUUCCCUUGUGGCUUGUAUACAGGUGGUGCAUGGUUGUCGUCAGCUCGUGUCGUGAGAUGUUGGGUUAAGUCCCGCAACGAGCGCAACCCUUGUCUUAUGUUGCCAGCACGUUGUGGUGGGGACUCGUAAGAAACUGCCGGGGUUAACUCGGAGGAAGGUGGGGAUGACGUCAAAUCAUCAUGCCCCUUAUGUCCAGGGCUUCACACAUGCUACAAUGGUCGGUACAGUGGGUUGCCAGUCCGUGAGGGCGAGCUAAUCCCGCAAAGCCGGUCUCAGUUCGGAUCGGGGUCUGCAACUCGACCCCGUGAAGUCGGAGUCGCUAGUAAUCGCAGAUCAGCAACGCUGC
This 1250-nucleotide ribosomal RNA is filed under the name uncultured Corynebacterium sp. RNAcentral describes it as "bacterial SSU rRNA". It matches the Rfam family "Bacterial small subunit ribosomal RNA", at positions 95 to 1360 of the family's 1533-position model. The record is from RNAcentral. Lineage: Bacteria; Bacillati; Actinomycetota; Actinomycetes; Mycobacteriales; Corynebacteriaceae.